Molecule: ribosomal RNA, 253 nt
Filed under: uncultured bacterium
Lineage: Bacteria
Description: partial 16S ribosomal RNA
Rfam family: Bacterial small subunit ribosomal RNA
Source: RNAcentral
UACAGAGGUCCCGAGCGUUGUUCGGAUUCACUGGGCGUAAAGGGUGCGUAGGUGGUGGGGUAAGUCUCGUGUGAAAGCUCGCAGCUUAACUGCGAAAAGUCACGGGAUACUAUUCUGCUGGAGGCUUGGAGGGGGACUGGAAUACUUGGUGUAGCAGUGAAAUGCGUAGAUAUCAAGUGGAACACCAGUGGCGAAGGCGAGUCCCUGGACAAGACCUGACACUGAGGCACGAAAGCCAGGGGAGCAAACAGGA